CAAUAGCGUAUAUUAAGGUUGUUGCAGUUAAAAAGCUCGUAGUUGGAUUUGUGGCGUGCGCCGAGGCGUCCAAUUUUUUGGUAUUGCCUUGGCCGUGCCAUCCUUGGGUGGAAUCUGUGUGGCAUUAGGUUGUCGUGCAGGGGGUGCCCAUCGUUUACUGUGAAAAAAUUAGAGUGUUCAAAGCAGGCUUAUGCCGUUGAAUAUAUUAGCAUGGAAUAAUAAGAUAGGUCUUUGGUCCUAUUUUGUUGGUUUGCGGACCGGAGAAAUGAUUAACAGGGACAGUUGGGGGUAUUCGUAUUCCAUUGUCAGAGGUGAAAUUCUUGGAUUUCUGGAAGACGAACUACUGCGAAAGCAUUUACCAAGGAUGUUUNCAUUA
RNAcentral lists this ribosomal RNA (376 nucleotides) under uncultured eukaryote. RNAcentral's name for it is "partial 18S ribosomal RNA". It matches the Rfam family "Eukaryotic small subunit ribosomal RNA", at positions 592 to 975 of the family's 1831-position model. The record is from RNAcentral.